AAACGUAAAAGCAUAGAAAAAUUGCCCAAUCAGAAUUCUUCGAAUUGCCUGCCCUAUCCAAAAAACAUCAUCUCCUUUUUGAUGGUUUCAAUUCUCAAGAAAGCUUGUUCUUCAAAAAACUAUUCAUCUGCUAUGUGAAACUUUCCUUUUCUCCGGCCAAUUUCAGUCUGGUUCUCACAUCCAGUCAGCUUUCUUUUGUUUUUCGGCAUACCUAGGGACGUUCUUUAGCAGGUAAAACUCCUCACUCUUUUUCAAAGAAUCUGUUGCUAGUAUAUGGGCUAAACCAUUUGCUGAUCUCGAAGUAUAUUUGAACACAAAAUUAUUGAAUCUAGCUGUUAUCUAUUGAAUAUCAUGUAUGUACACUCCUACUUGUGAUCUGUCUUGACUUUUAAUUGACACUUCUUGAUGAUGGCUAACGAGUCUCCUUCAAUAACGAUCUUCGGCCACUGCAUUUCAAUGCCUAUUUGGACUGCUUUACGGCAUGCAAGUGCUUCAGCAGCGAAAGUGGAGGCCACCUCUUUAUGGAUUUUUAAGCAGGAUAAAAGAACGAUCCCCUUAGUGUUUCAAGCCAUAAUACCCGAGGCCAAAUUGUAGUGACGCCCAUCAUACGCACCGUCAAAAUUGAUCUUAACAAUAGAACCAGCAUUUCUGUCUCCACAAAUGGCCCAGAGCGCACAAAAAAUAUUCGACAAUGGUGGGGGGACACUGAUCAAAAACCCAGGGCAUUCGCGGAACAGAUGAUCACUUGUUUCAGCCCCUCUUCCACAUCGGGGACAGGUUGUAUUAGUGACUAGUUUCCUAUGAUGCAUGUUGACUAGUGUAGGCAGACAGUUCCAUGAUACCCUCCAGAUUGUGAUUUUUAUUUUAGUAGGAAGAUUUUAGUGCUAGAGUUUUUUGUAAAAGUUUCUAUAGUUGGUUUGUAAAGCAUAAGCUCUAGGAUUAGCACAAGAAUUUUGUAAUAGUUUAUAGGCGCUAUGAACCAAAAAUUCGCCCGGAGAGUCACCACUUCAUACAAGAAAAUCAUCGUGAGGUUCUAGUGCCAACAGGAUACGAAGUAUCUUUUUAACAUCUCCCUUUGAAAAGGUGUUAACAAUCAAUUCUCGUUUCCAUA
Gossypium raimondii (Peruvian cotton) is the source of this 1111-nucleotide long non-coding RNA. RefSeq lists it as uncharacterized. The transcript has 3 exons. NCBI's taxonomy places the organism in Eukaryota, Viridiplantae, Streptophyta, Magnoliopsida, Malvales, Malvaceae. The record is from RefSeq and is a predicted model, not a curated record.